UGGGGCAGGCGGGGAGUUGCAGUUGCAGACUGCCGGAGCCGCCCCAAGUUGAUUUUAAUUAAAUUAGAGAGAACGCAACACAUGUCAACGAUAUGGACAAGUGCAGCACGGAAAGGGUUAGGUCGCCAUGCAGCUCCGGGGCAUUUAGCUUGACGAACUCCUCUCCUAGACACCAUUUAAAAGACUCGCACUUCAACGAACUUUCUGUUGAGGAACCCAAUCGGUUGGAUGGAUGACAAGUGCAGUACAAAUGUGACUUCAGUUGACUCUAGCUGCGGCUCAUCAGCACCUCGUCGAUGCCAUCUGGUGCCUCUCCAGCCGACUGGAUGCAAUCCAUUCCGUCAACGCCACGGGUAUCUGCAUCUGAGUGUGUAUCUGCGGGCCAGGCGACACGGCCUUUAAAUUGGAGUCGCCGAAAAUGGACAGCAGCAACAAUCAACGAUGUCCGGCCAUCGAGUGGCGCCUGGAAAUUGCAAUGUUUGUGCCGAGGAUCUCCAACUCAUCCGCUGCUGCGGGCCCCUGGCUUCUCCAUGCCCUGACAUCCUGGCUGACUAGCUGGCUGACUGACUGCCGGACUGCCUGCAUUCGUCCUGGCUGUCCGGCUGCUUGGGUAUCCGCGUCCACAUCCGGCUGAUGUGCAAAUCAAAUAACAAAUGAUUGUCUCUGCCAAACUGGGCGACUCGACUCGUGACUGUGAUUAAGGCCAGGCGGGUGGAAGUGAGCCCCUGCUCUGGAGCUCCGGUGCUGUGGACUCCAUGGACCUGUCCAUCUGCCAAAUGAAUAUUCCACAUUUUCCCAUUCCUUCCGCACCCGCAUAUUUUUCUAUGCGCAAUCACAACAGAUUGUGUGUUGGCUUUUGUCGAGUUAAAUUGAAUCAAGCUUAACUGGCAUAUAGUUUUUGUGGAAUAGAAAUGGAAAGAAAACUUGAUUUUCGUACGUUUUCCCAGACUGACGGCAGGUGUGAUAAGAUAAGCUGAAUAUUCUUUUGUAAUUAUUUUGUUUAAGCCCCGGAAACCUCGAUAUGGAUAAAUUUUUAAAAAAAUAAACGUUCAGAGAAUCUGCUCAGUCGAGCUCAUAAAACCCUCAUCAAGCAAAGAGCUAAGUCGCAAAAAUAUAACAAAAGCACCAACAUCACCAGAGAUAAAAAAUGCAAU
This is a non-coding RNA of Drosophila melanogaster (fruit fly), 1154 nucleotides long. The record is from Ensembl. NCBI's taxonomy places the organism in Eukaryota, Metazoa, Arthropoda, Insecta, Diptera, Drosophilidae.